This 74-nucleotide transfer RNA is filed under the name Caldifarciminota bacterium. Its description in RNAcentral is "candidate division WOR-3 bacterium tRNA-Val". It matches the Rfam family "tRNA". From Rfam's summary of the family: Transfer RNA (tRNA) molecules are approximately 80 nucleotides in length. Their secondary structure includes four short double-helical elements and three loops (D, anti-codon, and T loops). Lineage: Bacteria; Pseudomonadati; Caldifarciminota. The record is from RNAcentral.
GGGCGGUUAGCUCAGUUGGUUAGAGCGUUGGUCUCACAUACCAAAGGUCACUGGUUCAAAUCCAGUACCGCCCA